CCGGUGCACAAGCGGUGGAGCAUGUGGUUUAGUUCGAAGCAACGCGCAGAACCUUACCAGCCUUUGACAUCCUAGGACGACUUCUGGAGACAGAUUUCCUUCCCUUCGGGGACCUAGUGACAGGUGCUGCAUGGCUGUCGUCAGCUCGUGUCGUGAGAUGUUGGGUUAAGUCCCGCAACGAGCGCAACCCUCGUCCUUAGUUGCCAUCAUUAAGUUGGGCACUUUAAGGAAACUGCCGGUGAUAAGCCGGAGGAAGGUGGGGAUGACGUCAAGUCCUCAUGGCCCUUACAGGCUGGGCUACACACGUGCUACAAUGGCAUCUACAGUGGGCAGCUAUUCCGUAAGGAUGCGCUAAUCUCCAAAAGAAUGUCUCAGUUCGGAUUGUCCUCUGCAACUCGAGGGCAUGAAGGCGGAAUCGCUAGUAAUCGCGGAUCAGCAUGCCGCGGUGAAUACGUUCCCAGGCCUU
RNAcentral lists this ribosomal RNA (466 nucleotides) under uncultured Porphyrobacter sp. RNAcentral's name for it is "bacterial SSU rRNA". It matches the Rfam family "Bacterial small subunit ribosomal RNA", at positions 922 to 1376 of the family's 1533-position model. The record is from RNAcentral. Lineage: Bacteria; Pseudomonadati; Pseudomonadota; Alphaproteobacteria; Sphingomonadales; Erythrobacteraceae.